CAUUUCUUAUUGCUAACAUAAUAAGUAAAGCCUGCUCAAUGUAAAAUAAAUAGCCGCAGAAUUUUUACUGUGCUAAGGUAGCAUAAUCACUAGCCUUUUAAUUAAAGGCUUGUAUGAAAGGCCUCACAUUUAAAUACCUUUUUUUAUUAUUUAUUUGAACUUAUAUUAAAUAUAAAAAUAUAUUUAUUCAAAAAUUAGACGACAAGACCCUAUUGAACUUUACUUUAGUUCAGCUGGGGCAGCUUAUUAACAAUUAUUUUAAUGCUAUAUUUUUUUUUAAUAUAAUGAACCAAUUAAAUUGGUAAAAAGAAUAAGUUACCAUAGGGAUAACAGCGUAAUCUCUUUUUAAAGCUCUUAUUAAAAAGGAGGAUUGCGACCUCGAUGUUGAAUUAAUAUUCCUAAUAAACGCAAUAGUUUAUUAAGGGGGUCUGUUCGACCUUUAAAAUAUUAC
This 451-nucleotide ribosomal RNA is filed under the name Parazygiella sp. A MG-2015. RNAcentral's name for it is "partial 16S ribosomal RNA". It matches the Rfam family "Bacterial large subunit ribosomal RNA", at positions 1830 to 2599 of the family's 2925-position model. The record is from RNAcentral. Lineage: Eukaryota; Metazoa; Arthropoda; Arachnida; Araneae; Araneidae.